GGCUCGUUGGUCUAGGGGUAUGAUUCUCGCUGGCGCGAAGAGGUCCCGGUUCAAAUCCGGACGAGCCC
RNAcentral lists this transfer RNA (68 nucleotides) under Perca fluviatilis (European perch). Its description in RNAcentral is "tRNA-OTHER". Lineage: Eukaryota; Metazoa; Chordata; Actinopteri; Perciformes; Percidae. The record is from RNAcentral.